This 1796-nucleotide unclassified non-coding RNA is filed under the name uncultured fungus. Its description in RNAcentral is "sequence contains 18S rRNA gene, ITS1, 5.8S rRNA gene, ITS2, 28S rRNA gene". The stretch from base 774 to 1796 matches the Rfam family "Eukaryotic large subunit ribosomal RNA", at positions 1 to 961 of the family's 3401-position model. The record is from RNAcentral. Lineage: Eukaryota; Fungi.
GGUUGGAUCAUUACCAAUGAUUGGUGCCUGGGAGUAUUGAGUGGUCUCUGUGAUCCUCGCCUAGGUGCCUACCAACCUCUGUGCAAAUAAUCGUAUUUGGGUCUAGGACUCUGUGUUUGCCUGAUACCUAUGGGUGCAUACCUAUGCAUAGCUAUGCAUACCUAUGGGUGACAGUGAAUAGCAUAGAGAAGUGGGCCCGGCAUAUGUAAACCCCUAUAUAUAAUUGAAUUAUGAUUGAUUCCCAAGGGAACAAAACCAUUACAACUUUUAACAAUGGAUCUCUUGGCUCUCGCAACGAUGAAGAACGCAGCGAAAUGCGAUACGUAAUGUGAAUUGCAGAAUUCCGUGAAUCAUCGAAUCUUUGAACGCACAUUGCACUCUGUUUCGGCAGAGUAUGCCUGUUUGAGAACCUAUAGUAUCAUUUUCGUGGUAGAUGCAGACCUGAAGCUCUCUUUACGGGGAGCGCAGGGGUGUGUUUGGCAGGAGAGAUUUGAGAUUCCCUCUAACACAGGGUCUCUUUAAAACUAUGGCUGCUGUAGAGGAAGCUAUGCUGACCUUUGCUUUUACUGCGGAAACGUAUGCGAGUAGGCCCUUUUAGUUGCUAGUCGACUGGAGUUGGGUUUUCCUAUACGUGAUUAGCAGGUUUACAAGUGAAGCGAGUAGCGACUGAAAUGGCACACACUGGGAGGGAGGGGUAAGGUUGUGGUAGGCAAACGCUAUACCAGAACCAAACCUCACCCAAACCCAAACCAUUGGGCGAAAGCCUUGAACCAUGGUCUCAAAUCAGGUAGGACGACCCGCUGAACUUAAGCAUAUCAAUAAGCGGAGGAAAAGAAACUAACAAGGAUUCCCCUAGUAACGGCGAGUGAAGCGGGAAGAGCUCAAAUUUGAAAUCUCACAGGUUCCCUGUGCGAAUUGUAGUUUAGAGAAACGUUUUCGGGGUUGAACUCAGUACAAGUUCUUUGGAACAAGACAUCAUAGAGGGUGAAAAUCCCGUCUUUGACUGAGAGCUCAGCUCUGUGUGAUACGUUUUCCAAGAGUCGGUUUGUUUGGGAAUGCAGACCAAAAUGGGUGGUAAAUACCAUCUAAAGCUAAAUACUGGCGAGAGACCGAUAGCGAACAAGUACCGUGAGGGAAAGAUGGAAAGAACUUUGAAAAGAGAGUUAAAUAGUACGUGAAAUUGUUAAAAGGGAAACGUUUGAAACCAGUAUUGUUUGCAGGGAUCCAGCCGUGGUUUACUGCGGUGUAUCUCUCUGUAGACGGGUCAACAUCAGUUUGGGGUGGAGUAAAAAGCGUUUGGAACGUAGCCUUUCGGGGUGUUAUAGCCAAGCGAAAUGCUUUGCGCUGGACUGAGGACUGCUGCCUGUGUCGGUGUUGGUUGCCCGGGGAAGUACUGGGUCUGAAUGCUUGCAUACAGGCCUGGAUAUGAACCGGCUCGGCGAAUUACCUAUCAGGCAAAGGAUGUUGACGAAAUGGUUUUAAGCGACCCGUCUUGAAACACGGACCAAGGAGUCUAACAUUUAUGCGAGUAUUUGGGUGGAAAACCCUUAUGCGUAAUGAAAGUGAAAAGGUGGGAUCCUUUACUGGUGCACCAUCGACCGCGCCAGAUUAUUACUAUCUCGGCGUGAGUAUGAGCAUACAUGCUGGGACCCGAAAGAUGGUGAACUAUGCCUGAAUAGGGUGAAGCCAGAGGAAACUCUGGUGGAGGCUCGUAGCGGUUCUGACGUGCAAAUCGAUCGUCGAAUUUGGGUAUAGGGGCGAAAGACUAAUCGAACCAUCUAGUAGCUGGUUCCCUC